Molecule: ribosomal RNA, 502 nt
Filed under: uncultured bacterium
Lineage: Bacteria
Description: partial 16S ribosomal RNA
Rfam family: Bacterial small subunit ribosomal RNA
Source: RNAcentral
AUUGAACGCUGGCGGAAUGCUUUACACAUGCAAGUCGAACGGCAGCAUAGGUGCUUGCACCUGAUGGCGAGUGGCGAACGGGUGAGUAAUACAUCGGAACGUGCCCAGUCGUGGGGGAUAACGUAGCGAAAGUUACGCUAAUACCGCAUACGAUCUAAGGAUGAAAGCGGGGGACCGUAAGGCCUUGCGCGAUUGGAGCGGCCGAUGUCAGAAUAGGUAGUUGGUGUGGUAAAGGCUCACCAAGCCGACGAUCUGCAGCUGGUCUGAGAGGACGACCAGCCACACUGGGACUGAGACACGGCCCAGACUCCUACGGGAGGCAGCAGUGGGGAAUUUUGGACAAUGGACGCAAGUCUGAUCCAGCCAUUCCGCGUGCAGGACGAAGGCCUUCGGGUUGUAAACUGCUUUUGUACGGAACGAAAAAGCUCUUACUAAUACUAGGAGUCCAUGACGGUACCGUAAGAAUAAGCACCGGCUAACUACGUGCCAGCCGCCGCAGUAA